GCAUCGAUGAAGAACGUAGCGAAAUGCGAUACUUGGUGUGAAUUGCAGAAUCCGUGAACCAUCGAGUCUUUGAACGCAAGUUGCGCCCGAAGCCAUUAGGCCGAGGGCACGUCUGCCUGGGCGUCAC
RNAcentral lists this ribosomal RNA (127 nucleotides) under Penstemon davidsonii. RNAcentral's name for it is "partial 5.8S ribosomal RNA". It matches the Rfam family "5.8S ribosomal RNA", at positions 30 to 154 of the family's 154-position model. Rfam says of the family: 5.8S ribosomal RNA (5.8S rRNA) is a component of the large subunit of the eukaryotic ribosome. It is transcribed by RNA polymerase I as part of the 45S precursor that also contains 18S and 28S rRNA. Functionally, it is thought that 5.8S rRNA may be involved in ribosome translocation. Lineage: Eukaryota; Viridiplantae; Streptophyta; Magnoliopsida; Lamiales; Plantaginaceae. The record is from RNAcentral.